UUCCUACGGGAGGCAGCAGUGGGGAAUAUUGCGCAAGGGGCGCAAGCCUGAUGUUGGCCAUGCCGCGUGUAUGAAGAAGACCUUCGGGUUGUAAAGUAAUUUCAGCCGGGAGGAUGUAAGUAAAGUUAAUACCUAGCUUAUUGACGGAGCUCAGU
This 155-nucleotide ribosomal RNA is filed under the name uncultured Shigella sp. Its description in RNAcentral is "partial 16S ribosomal RNA". It matches the Rfam family "Bacterial small subunit ribosomal RNA", at positions 336 to 482 of the family's 1533-position model. The record is from RNAcentral. Lineage: Bacteria; Pseudomonadati; Pseudomonadota; Gammaproteobacteria; Enterobacterales; Enterobacteriaceae.